UGGGGAAUAUUGGACAAUGGGCGCAAGCCUGAUCCAGCCAUGCCGCGUGUGUGAAGAAGGCCUUUUGGUUGUAAAGCACUUUAAGCGAGGAGGAGGCUACUUGGAUUAAUACUCUAGGAUAGUGGACGUUACUCGCAGAAUAAGCACCGGCUAACUCUGUGCCAGCAGCCGCGGUAAUACAGAGGGUGCGAGCGUUAAUCGGAUUUACUGGGCGUAAAGCGUGCGUAGGCGGCUUCUUAAGUCGGAUGUGAAAUCCCUGAGCUUAACUUAGGAAUUGCAUUCGAUACUGGGAAGCUAGAGAAUGGGAGAGGAUGGUAGAAUUCCAGGUGUAGCGGUGAAAUGCGUAGAGAUCUGGAGGAAUACCGAUGGCGAAGGCAGCCAUCUGGCCUAAUACUGACGCUGAGGUACGAAAGCAUGGGGAGCAAACAGG
Molecule: ribosomal RNA, 430 nt
Filed under: bacterium
Lineage: Bacteria
Also listed under: 1 other name
Description: partial 16S ribosomal RNA
Rfam family: Bacterial small subunit ribosomal RNA
Source: RNAcentral